UCUCUACCUUAUUUUUUAGAAUUUAAUUUUAUAGUGAAAAAGCUUUAAUUUUUUAAAGGGACGAGAAGACCCUAUUGAGCUUAUAAUUUUAUUAUUAUUAUAUAAAUAUUUAUAUAAUAGUGUAUAAAUUUUAGUUGGGGUGAUUAAGGAAUAAAAGGAUAUUAACUUCCUUAGAUUAAAUAUUAUUUGAUCAAGUAACCAAUAUAUUAUUGCUUUUAUUAUAGUUACCAUAGGGAUAACAGCGUAAUUUGUUUAGAGAGUUCUUAUUAAAAAAUGAGAUUGCGACCUCCAUGUUGGAUUAAAGUAACCUUAAGGUGGAGAAGCUU
This 326-nucleotide ribosomal RNA is filed under the name Cranchiidae environmental sample cf. Taonius pavo. RNAcentral's name for it is "partial 16S ribosomal RNA". Lineage: Eukaryota; Metazoa; Mollusca; Cephalopoda; Oegopsida; Cranchiidae. The record is from RNAcentral.